UCAAUACGUAACCUACGAGCUUGUGCUCUU
This 30-nucleotide small RNA is filed under the name Bombyx mori (domestic silkworm). RNAcentral describes it as "ovarian small RNA-24805". Lineage: Eukaryota; Metazoa; Arthropoda; Insecta; Lepidoptera; Bombycidae. The record is from RNAcentral.